CCUAGUCGGGCGGCGCUGCGGGGGGUGAAUACGGGGGUGUUUACGGGGUGGGGUAGCCUACUUUGGGAUCAUUUUGGGUAAAAAAGUCAGGUGUGAAUAGAAUAGGCAAAGGGAACUGAGGAGGCUAAGUAGGGUUUGGGAAGGGGAGGAUAGUCGGUACCGGUUGAAGACAGUCCUGAGGCCAUCUCCGGCGGGGUACCUGACCUGCCAGAUCACUUCCUCCUUAGACUGCUCCUCCGCGAGCGCGAGGCGUAGCGGUAGGUCGCCAGCGCGCAGCUGUAGCCGCCCCGAGGUAGCGCGGGUGUUGUUCGAGGAGGAGUAGGGAGGCCGUCUUACGAUCGGCGCGGGUGGGAAGAUCGAGGCGCCUUACGGUUGGUGUGGACGGGCAGGGCACGAGCGGGAAGAUAGAAGCGCGACGAGAUCUAGGCUUUGUCCAAGAGGGGAAGGGGAGACCGCGAUCGUGGCGGGUCGGUUGCCACCCACGAGCACGGGCGUUGAGAGUCCACAAGUAAAAUCCAAGUUAAACCUGAUAGAGCCGGGAAAACCUACUUGAUUAACGUACAGACUACAGGCUUAACGAGUUCAAAAUACGAUAAAUAUACCAGAUGCAUCUGACGUACCAAAACAUACUUUAUCCCAUAGACUUAAACUACAAACACUAACACCUAUCCCUUUUAACCGAUGAUAAGCCCAUGACGGUCGCCUGUGCGGACGUCCACAUAUAUCGUGGUUUAAUCCAUUAGGACCAACAUCUAUGAGAGUACUUUGAGUACUGCCUCCAACGAGAGCAAACUAACCGUGGUGGAGAAGAGUUUUAGACCCUUAAUAAAAACACAAAAACAAACAAACUAGUACCUAGAAACCUUGUGGAGAUGCGAUUCGAUCGCACAAGGAACAAUCUCAAAAGAAGAUCUCUUACAACAUAAUUAGUUAGUUAGUUUAAUGUGUCUCAAGGACUCUAUGUUAGACCCUGUAUAUUUUUUUUGAUUCUGAAUAUCUCAUGUAUGUGCUAAAUCGAUUAUUUACUCGGCGAUGUAAUGUUACGGCUGUUUGUACGAACUUGUAGUAUCUUCGUUUCGGUGAUCUCUACUCCAAUUACAGUCGUUGGUGGCGUGGUUAACCUCUUGCUAGAUUUCGACUUCUCAAAUCGGAGACAUGGUUCCUUUCUGUUAACCUCCGUUUCUAUCAUAGACUUUAAAGAAGUAAGGCACGGUUGACUUGUUGCGUGGCUUCCUAUGUAGGGUUUAUAGAGAUCGUAUACCCGUUUUUUCAUCUCGAACGUGUUGUCUAAGCUUGGUCCGUGUUUUUGUUCUUUCGAGCCUACAUCCAUGUACUGCCACGUUUUUCACUCUUGGUGGUCCAUUUGUUAAGACUCGUAUGGGAGUGUUCUGAUGGAAGUAAAAUAAAAUAAUCCUCGGAAUUAGUAGGUUUCUCUGAAGGUAACGAAGAGGCGUUGGCGGGAAGGCUUGUAACCGGGACGGGCAAAAAAAUGAAACUCUGUAGUCUUUUAUCGAUCACGCUCAGUAUAUACUAGGCGAAAGACUUAUAAAGGGAGUAGGAACGUGGUACGUCCGGAACCUCCUGUUCGAGCGACACACUUAGGUGCUACAGGAGAUCUAACGGUUUAACUUGUUAUACCAGAUCUCACACCAAGAGCUGAACCGCUACACCAACCAGCUCAGCCGCUGUUUUCAGUACCGCGGUUUCUGCUUCUCGACUGGAUUGUGCAUCUAGCACAGUAGUAGACUAGACACUCAAGUGGUGCACCCCGAACAUACCCAGUGACUACAGGAUGUUCACGUGUUGCAAAUCAACAUCGAAAAAGUUUCAUUCUCAUAGUUAGGGUGUGCCUCGUGUACUUAGUUGGAAAACAGAGAACUUACCAAGCUCAUCUUACGGACGUUUAAAAAUCGCUAGGUUUCGUCACCAUUUCACUACCUUUACUACAACGCUCAGAUUUAUAUUUAUUAAGU
Molecule: ribosomal RNA, 1973 nt
Filed under: Triticum aestivum (bread wheat)
Lineage: Eukaryota; Viridiplantae; Streptophyta; Magnoliopsida; Poales; Poaceae
Description: partial small subunit ribosomal RNA
Source: RNAcentral